GUGAGGGAGGGUGUGACUAGUGAGAGAGUUAGGGAGGGAAGGGGUAACUAGUGACAGAGGGAGGGGUGACUAGGGACAGAGGGAGGGAGAUGGUGACUAGUGACUAGUGACAGUCAUCACCGCUGUCACUAGUCACCACCUCCCUCCCUCUGUCACCAGUCAUCCCCUUACUCUGUCACUAGUCACCCCUUCCUUCCCUCACUCUGCCACUAGUCACCCCUUCCCUCACUCUGCCACUAGUCACCCCUUCCCUCAC
This 256-nucleotide small RNA is filed under the name Pelobates cultripes (western spadefoot toad). The record is from RNAcentral. Lineage: Eukaryota; Metazoa; Chordata; Amphibia; Anura; Pelobatidae.